CUGGCGGCAUGCCUUACACAUGCAAGUCGAACGCGAAAGUGGGGGCAACCCUGCGAGUAGAGUGGCGAACGGGUGAGUAAUACAUCGGAACGUACCCAGGAGUGGGGGACAACCUCGAGAAAUCGAGGCUAAUACCGCAUACGUCCUGAGGGAGAAAGCGGGGGAUUCGCAAGGACCUCGCGCUCAUGGAGCGGCCGAUGUCGGAUUAGCUAGUUGGCGGGGUAAGAGCCCACCAAGGCUACGAUCCGUAGCUGGUUUGAGAGAACGACCAGCCACACUGGGACUGAGACACGGCCCAGACUCCUACGGGAGGCAGCAGUGGGGAAUUUUGGACAAUGGGCGCAAGCCUGAUCCAGCCAUGCCGCGUGAGUGAAGAAGGCCUUCGGGUUGUAAAGCUCUUUCGGCCGGAACGAAAUCGCGCACGUGAAUAACGUGUGUGGAUGACGGUACUGGAAGAAGAAGCACCGGCUAACUACGUGCCAGCAGCCGCGGUAAUACGUAGGGUGCGAGCGUUAAUCGGAAUUACUGGGCGUAAAGCGUGCGCAGGCGGUUCUGCAAGUCAGAUGUGAAAUCCCCGGGCUUAACCUGGGAACUGCGUUUGAAACUACGGAGCUAGAGUGCGGCAGAGGGGGGUGGAAUUCCACGUGUAGCAGUAAAAUGCGUAGAUAUGUGGAGGAACACCGAUGGCGAAGGCAGCCCCCUGGGCCGACACUGACGCUCAGGCACGAAAGCGUGGGGAGC
This 741-nucleotide ribosomal RNA is filed under the name uncultured soil bacterium. RNAcentral describes it as "bacterial SSU rRNA". It matches the Rfam family "Bacterial small subunit ribosomal RNA", at positions 36 to 769 of the family's 1533-position model. The record is from RNAcentral.